GGAUGUGAGGCUGGCUAGGUGGGUGUCCCCUUCCUCCCUCACUACUUCACAUGCAUCCCUCUUGAAGCUGUGUGCUCGGUCUAAGAGGACAACUUUCCCUGAUAGAGGAGGACUGUUCUUCAAUUACAGGCAUGCAAAUAACUGCACUCCCUUUGGGAGGUGAUUAGGUCAUAACGGU
This 178-nucleotide small RNA is filed under the name Pongo abelii (Sumatran orangutan). It matches the Rfam family "7SK RNA", at positions 60 to 282 of the family's 331-position model. From Rfam's summary of the family: 7SK was discovered as an abundant small nuclear RNA in the mid-70s but a possible function has only recently been suggested. Two independent studies have found that 7SK RNA binds the CDK9/cyclin T complex (known as elongation factor P-TEFb). P-TEFb activates transcription by phosphorylating the C-terminal domain of RNA polymerase II. Lineage: Eukaryota; Metazoa; Chordata; Mammalia; Primates; Hominidae. The record is from RNAcentral.